RNAcentral lists this unclassified non-coding RNA (649 nucleotides) under Cistus salviifolius. Its description in RNAcentral is "sequence contains ITS1, 5.8S rRNA gene, ITS2". The stretch from base 263 to 418 matches the Rfam family "5.8S ribosomal RNA". The record is from RNAcentral. Lineage: Eukaryota; Viridiplantae; Streptophyta; Magnoliopsida; Malvales; Cistaceae.
CGAUUCCUGCCUAGGCAGACAGUACCCGCGAACUGGUUAUAAACAACGCGUCGCGGCCGUCGUCGGGCGAGAGCCCCGCAACGGCCCGGCGCAACCGCCGCGUGAGCGCGGCAUUCCCGUCGUCCCCUGCGGGAUCGGCGGUGCGUCGUGCUUUCCGCGGCACACAAACGAACCCCGGCGUGGAUAACGCCAAGGAAAACAAAAGGGAAGUCGCGUCCCCGCGCAACGCGGGGCUCGCGACUCCUGUCGUACUUACAAUAACGACUCUCGGCAACGGAUAUCUCGGCUCUCGCAUCGAUGAAGAACGUAGCGAAAUGCGAUACUUGGUGUGAAUUGCAGAAUCCCGUGAACCAUCGAGUCUUUGAACGCAAGUUGCGCCCCAAGCCGUCAGGCCGAGGGCACGCCUGCCUGGGCGUCACGCAACGUCGCCCCCUCCGCCCCCGUCUUCUAAGGGACUCGGGGGCGCGCGAGGGCGGAUACUGGCCUCCCGUGCGUGCAUUGCUCGCGGCUGGCCUAAAAACGAGUCCUCGGCGUCGAACGCUCGGGCGAGCGGUGGUCUUUAUCGUCCUCGUCACGUGCCGUGCGCUUUCGACGUCGGAAAGGGAUCUCUCGGACCCCGAACGCGCGUCUCGGAAAAUNGUUUNGACCC